AGAACGAACGCUGGCGGCAUGCCUAAUACAUGCAAGUCGAACGAACACUUCGGUGUUAGUGGCGCACGGGUGCGUAACGCGUGGGAAUCUGCCCUUGGGUUCGGAAUAACAGUUGGAAACGACUGCUAAUACCGGAUGAUAUCGAAAGAUCAAAGAUUUAUCGCCCAGGGAUGAGCCCGCGUAGGAUUAGCUAGUUGGUGAGGUAAAGGCUCACCAAGGCGACGAUCCUUAGCUGGUCUGAGAGGAUGAUCAGCCACACUGGGACCGAGACACGGCCCAGACUCCUACGGGAGCAGCAGUAGGGAAUAUGGACAAUGGGCGCAAGCCUGAUCCAGCAAAUGCCGCGUGAGUGAUGAAGGCCUUAGGGUUGUAAAGCUCUUUACCCGAGAUGAUAAUGACAGUAGUCGGAGAAGUAAGCCCGGCUAACUCCGUGCCAGCAGCCGC
This 444-nucleotide ribosomal RNA is filed under the name uncultured soil bacterium. RNAcentral's name for it is "bacterial SSU rRNA". It matches the Rfam family "Bacterial small subunit ribosomal RNA", at positions 26 to 518 of the family's 1533-position model. The record is from RNAcentral.